GAGAACAUGUGGAGUUCCAUCCCCACUGCUAGGAGAACAGUGUCCCACAGUGUCCUUCCCAGGUAUAGAGAACAGGACAGCUGGACUGGUGGGAGAAGCCAUGGUGGAACUACUGUGAAAGGUUUCAGCAACCUGGAAAUCACCUAUUCCAGAGACUGUAUCUAUAAAAUGCAGCCUGGAUCCCUGAGUCACUGCUUGGAAGAGAACUUCUUUGGAGAGCCAAUGGACCCAGAACAGACUUUUCAGGAACCAAAAAUAAACAUUUGUGUAUUAAACCACUGAAAUCUCCGAGAUAGUUUGUUACUGCAGCAUAGCCUCACUUAACCUGACUAAUACACCAUGUGCUCCAGAUCUACUAGUUGGGAUGGAGUUACUAACCCACAUUGGACUACGACAGUGUGAGGAAUAAACUGCCAUUGGGUUAAGUCA
This 429-nucleotide long non-coding RNA is filed under the name Vulpes vulpes (red fox). RNAcentral's name for it is "lncRNA (ENSVVUG00000026600.1)". The record is from RNAcentral. Lineage: Eukaryota; Metazoa; Chordata; Mammalia; Carnivora; Canidae.